GACGAACCGUGCGAACGUUAUUCGGAAUCACUGGGCUUAAAGGGUGCGUAGGCUGGUUGCCAAGUCUGUGGUGAAAUCCUCCGGCUUAACCGGAGAACUGCCGUGGAUACUGGCGACCUCGAGUGGGGUAGGGGCUUGCGGAACUGUGCGUGGAGCGGUGAAAUGCGUUGAUAUGCACAGGAACUCCGGUGGCGAAGGCGGCGAGCUGGACCCUAACUGACGCUGAGGCACGAAAGCCAGGGGAGCAAACAGG
This 253-nucleotide ribosomal RNA is filed under the name uncultured bacterium. RNAcentral's name for it is "partial 16S ribosomal RNA". It matches the Rfam family "Bacterial small subunit ribosomal RNA", at positions 524 to 776 of the family's 1533-position model. The record is from RNAcentral.